AAGACGCUAGUAAAAUACUAUUACCCUGCCUUGUCAAGGCAGAAUUGUGGGUUGGAACCCCGCGUGUCUUG
RNAcentral lists this transfer RNA (71 nucleotides) under Saurida umeyoshii. RNAcentral describes it as "tRNA-Asp". It matches the Rfam family "tRNA". From Rfam's summary of the family: Transfer RNA (tRNA) molecules are approximately 80 nucleotides in length. Their secondary structure includes four short double-helical elements and three loops (D, anti-codon, and T loops). Lineage: Eukaryota; Metazoa; Chordata; Actinopteri; Aulopiformes; Synodontidae. The record is from RNAcentral.